UUUUCAUUACGGUUAAUAUUAAUUUUGUUAAUUAGCUUUACUUGACUCAGUGGCUCUGUCCUGCGAUCGCAUCAGCCUCAGCAGAAUAGUGACAAAUCUAUGGGAUCUAGGGCAAGACCCUUAACCCCCCCCCCCAGCUCCAUGUCACUGCUGCAGGCGGCUGCCCUUCAGUGCCAAGCUUGCUCUCAAUUACAUGUGUGUUACAGAGAGCUGGGGGGGGGGGGGGGGAAUUCUUUAUGGGGUCAAGAAAAGCACCUAUCAUUCAUUUCAUUAAGUUCUGUGACUCUCUGAGCUUCAUAUAUGACUGGGCCACCGUUAAUAUCUCCUAUAGUAACCAAAUACAUGUUUCACUUGUUAACUUGUACAGCCAGUGCAUGUGUUUGUCUGUAUGCGAUUUCAUAGCUAUAUAAUUUGUGAUGAGUUUUUACAGCUAAAGUGUUAAUGAACCGAGUCACGGAAUCUAGGUGGGACCCGGAGAUGUUAACUGUGAAUCAACUGCACGUCUCCGAAAUAUCUCUGCAAGAUAAUUGCUGAAGUGUAAUGUUUAGUGUGGCUAUUACCAGUAAUAUGUAAAGUUUAAAACGAUGUUUAAAAUGAUUAAGAGCAUCUUCGUUUGAUGCAUUCCAGUUCUGCUGCUAUUUGUAUUCGUAACAUAGGUGAUGUAACUUGUCACGUUAGUUUGCGAUUGGACAUUAUGUUUUGACCCAAGUUGCAUUCUGGCGGAUGUCAAAUACAAAGGUUUGGACAGAUGCAGCUCCUUCGCAGAAGUUAAACAUUAAAAUGCCACCAGGACAGGAGUAUUUAUUUCAAAAUAUGCUGCCGAUGAUGCAGUAAUAGGCAGGGGGGGCAGGCCACCUGGGAAAAAUGCAGACAAAGUGUGAAGGGCCCCCGUGGGAGAAUAGCGCCCUCUACAGUAGAGGCAGGAAAGUAGGAGCAGGCUGUAUAAUUUGCAUAAUCAUCUGUGAUCAAAUUUACUGACCGGGGGGGGGUCUCCCCCAGUAAAUAUCAAAGGUACCUGCCUAUUAUCAGUCAAAGUAACCUGGGAAGAUCCUGCCCCCCAGACAAUUCUGAGGAUGGGGGGUGUGUGACGACACGAGUGGACUGUGACCUUAGUACAAAUAAAUAGUUAUUAUCAUGAGAUAAAGUGUGAUUAAGAUGACUGAUGCUGGGGGAAUUCCGAUGCGUACACUGGUGAUCCACCCAUUUCUGUUAGCUACAAUAUCUGACCCCACCGCCUGUUACGUAUUCGUUGUAUGCAGUGCUGUGUACCCUCUGUUUUUAGCUUUCAGUGUAGUCACUUACUGUAGUCUGUAAUCACCAACAAUUUCCCCAGGAAUAACAAAAGUUUUCUAAUUCCGAUAAUCCUUACUUGGAUGUCACUUUGGACAAAGGUCUCUGUUAAUCUAUUAAAUUAAUGUGACCUUACGUAAGUUUUAAUUCUCGUCUAUGUAUAUUCUUGUGCUUAUUACUUCCUAGCUGUUUUCUGCAGUCUUAGUCUUUCCUUUUUUUUAAUCUUUGUCUCGUUGCGAUGUGACAGUCGUAAGUUUCUUUGGAUCCCUGAAAAGCAUUAUUCAAAUGAAACAUAUUAUUAUUAUGAUUAUUAUUCCUUGUGGAGUGAUCUCUAGUUAAGCGGUUACUGAAAUUUAGGAUUAACUGAUUUGUUGAUGCUAACAAAUGAUAAUGACUCUUUAUUAAUCCCCAUGGGGAAAUUGCCUUUUUACACCUCCCUCUGUGAACUUGCUCUUUGUGGAGUAAGUUGUCUGUGAAGGGCAGCCACCCGUAGCAGCGCCCAGGGAGCUGGGGAGGGUUAAGGGCCUCGCUCAAGGCCCUGCGAAUGUGCUGAGGUUGGGUUUAAACCGGCAACCUUAUGAUUACAGGCACACAGGCUUAGUUCACGGUGCCACACGCUGCCCCGAAUGUAAGUGCACCCGCGAGUUUGAUUGGCCCAUCACAGACGACCAUGAACAGCCAGUUGACAAAGGUGUCGGGAUUCAGGGAUGUGGCCCAUAGCCUGCAUAGCUGGGGGGUUUUCGCUGAGAAAUCAUGCACUUUUUGGUGUAUGGAGCAUGGAGUAAAGGGCACCACCGAUCUCGACAUCUCAAGUGUGAAGUUUUAAAGAACAAGAGUGUGUCUGGGUUUCUGCAGUGUGAUCGAUUUCUUCAGUGAAACCUCCGGUUCUUUAAGUUGAACGAUGGGGCAGGUUCCUUAAGCUUAAGCAGUUUAUUAAGACAGAAUGAAGAUGGAGCCGGGGGGUCAGACGGCCUUGGGGAGAGUAAGUUGUAUGAGAGGCAAAGAACAUGAUGAGCAAGUAGCAAGGACAGAAAGAAAUAUAAAUAUAAGAAAUAUGAAAGCUACAAAUUAAUGAACUAAAUGAACAUAAUUAUAUAACUACAAAUUAACUAGGGAAACCCCUCAAGUGGCAGUAGUACUGGAAACAAUAGGCUGUUUGUUUUCAGGUUGCCAUCUUGAUGGGCAGCUCUAAGCAGUCUAUCUCCCACGAUCGUAAGCAAAACUUUAUUCGGCAAAACGGGAUCUGAAACACGCGCCCGGAACACCCCGUGCACCGCUUCCAUUGUGGCCCCUUGACGCCUCUUUCGAGCAGAGAGGAAUGGCGACUGGGCGUCAUGGAACGCAUUCGGUGCGGCGCGGCCGCCGUCUGCGUGUCAUCAUCAGGGUGACAGAAGCUUGUCACUCUCUCUUCUCGUUUCUACUUACGUCAAGCUCCUCAUCGACUUCUCCUUUUGCCCCGUUUCUCUGGCUGAGAGCAGAGCCCUUAAACCCCAGCGCAUUUCUUUGGACAUUUGCGUGGGCGGCUGAACAACGGUCAGAAUGUAUAAGACGUUAAUAUUUUUUUUCAAUUGGAAGGGCCCUUGAUUUUCCAGUGACUCAUUUCCGAAAGACUGGUAUUUUUUAUCCUUCGACGUUUAAGUGUAAGUUUCAGCACCAGAAAAACAUUCAGUUUAGGGAAACCCUUUUCUGAAAUGUCAAGCAGAACAAGAAAUCUCAGGAAAAUCCCUUAAUUUACGAAGGAUUUAAACUAUCCGUGUCAGUGCCAAAAUCUAUCCAGAAAAAAGUAAAAAACAAAAACCAAAAUUAUCAACUGUGUCCUGUGAUGGACUGACAUCCCCCCUAGGGUGUACCCCAGCCCUGUACCCUGUGAUGGACUGACAUCCCCCCAAGGGUGUACCCCAGCCCUGUACCCUGUGAUAGACUGGCAUCCCCCCUAGGGUGUACCCUAGCCCUGUACCCUGUGAUGGACUGACAUCCCCCCUAAGGUGUACCCCAGCCCUGUACCCUGUGAUGGACUGACAUCCCCCCUAGGGUGUACCCCAGCCCUGUACCCUGUGAUGGACUGACAUCCCCCCUAGGGUGUACCCCAGCCCUGUACCCUGUGAUGGACUGACAUCCCCCCUAAGGUGUACCCCAGCCCUGUACCCUGUGAUGGACUGACAUCCCCCCUAGGGUGUACCCUAGCCCUGUACCCUGUGAUGGACUGACAUCCCCCCUAAGGUGUACCCCAGCCCUGUACCCUGUGAUAGACUGACAUCCCCCCUAAGGUGUACCCCAGCCCUGUACCCUGUGAUGGACUGACAUCCCCCCUAGGGUGUACCCUAGCCCUGUACCCUGUGAUGGACUGACAUCCCCCCUAGGGUGUACCCUAGCCCUGUACCCUGUGAUGGACUGACAUCCCCCCUAGGGUGUACCCCAGCCCUGUACCCUGUGAUAGACUGGCAUCCCCCCAAGGGUGUACCCCAGCCCUGUACCCUGUGAUAGACUGGCAUCCCCCCUAGGGUGUACCCCAGCCCUGUACCCUGUGAUAGACUGGCAUCCCCCCUAGGGUGUACCCUAGCCCUGUACCCUGUGAUGGACUGACAUCCCCCCUAGGGUGUACCCCAGCCCUGUACCCUGUGAUAGACUGGCAUCCCCCCAAGGGUGUACCCCAGCCCUGUACCCUGUGAUAGACUGGCAUCCCCCCUAGGGUGUACCCCAGCCCUGUACCCUGUGAUGGACUGACAUCCCCCCUAGGGUGUACCCUAGCCCUGUACCCUGUGAUGGACUGACAUCCCCCCUAGGGUGUACCCCAGCCCUGUACCCUGU
Long non-coding RNA from Brienomyrus brachyistius, 4098 nucleotides. RefSeq lists it as uncharacterized. The record is from RefSeq and is a predicted model, not a curated record. NCBI's taxonomy places the organism in Eukaryota, Metazoa, Chordata, Actinopteri, Osteoglossiformes, Mormyridae. The transcript has 3 exons.